GUGUUCACUUCAGCAACAGCACAUAUACUAAAAUUGGAACGAUACAAAGAUUAGCAUGGCCCCUGUGAAAGGAUCACAUGCAAAUUUGUGAAGUGUUCCAUAGGAGG
Molecule: small nuclear RNA, 107 nt
Organism: Suncus etruscus (white-toothed pygmy shrew)
Lineage: Eukaryota; Metazoa; Chordata; Mammalia; Eulipotyphla; Soricidae
Source: RefSeq, a predicted model, not a curated record